UUUUAAAUCACUGUGUUUGCUACAUCCAGAUCUCAGGCAAGAUUUUGACCCUAGUUUUCCUGGGGACAUUUUCUAAUAGCACCUCUGAUGUAGAGACUUACCAAAUCAAGAUAACAGCUACAGCUUCUACAGCUUUUCUUCACCAUGUGAUCUUCCACACCAACAGGAAGGAUUGCCUUUUGAAACACAAACAAGACCGACAGAUUGACUGAAAGAUCUGUUUGGGGGGAGGCACAGCUGCUCAGUCUGGUGGAGUUGUGCCAGAGGCUGAGGGAACCUCUCAGUGAGCCCCUCAGCCAGCAGCUGGGUCCUGCUCUGGGAACCGAGAGCUGUUUGUCUACAGCAAGGUCUAGCGUGCCACAAGCACUGCCACUCCAACACUCACAGCCUUUCACAGCUGCCAGGACAGAGGAAUGCCAAAACAAGGCCAGUGCCUCUGGGUGCAUUUCAAGGUGGGUGGAAGAAGACGCGCUUAACCAUAAACUCCAGAGUUCCCAUGAGCAACAAGGGUAAGUUCCUAUGCAUUUGUUUUUUUCUUUUCUGCCCCAGCAUGUGCUUAGCCUAUUUCACAAGACUCAGGCAUGUGAUUAGGUUUGCUCUACACGCAGGUAAGUCUCAGAAUGCCUAUGGAUACUAAAAUAAAAUAGAUUAUUAUCAUUUCCUUCUCCUGAAU
RNAcentral lists this long non-coding RNA (673 nucleotides) under Numida meleagris (helmeted guineafowl). RNAcentral describes it as "lncRNA (ENSNMEG00000004528.1)". The record is from RNAcentral. Lineage: Eukaryota; Metazoa; Chordata; Aves; Galliformes; Numididae.